RNAcentral lists this long non-coding RNA (2156 nucleotides) under Oreochromis niloticus (Nile tilapia). RNAcentral describes it as "lncRNA (ENSONIG00000033032.1)". Lineage: Eukaryota; Metazoa; Chordata; Actinopteri; Cichliformes; Cichlidae. The record is from RNAcentral.
AAUGCGCACCGGAUUUAAGUGACCCCAUGUCAGCUGCCAGAUAUGCAGCUGAGGAAAUAUCAGAAGCAAAAGAUGGGUUUGUUCGAUAUUUGUCAGAUGAAGAAGGUAUGACCACUCACUCCUACCAAAACAAGCAAAAGAACAAAAACAAAGACUGCUUAGUAAGUACAGAAUAAUCUUUCUGAAACCACAGGGAACUUCUACCUCAGCUACAUUGACCCUGUGGUCAUUGGUAGACAAGCUUUCCAUUCAACGAAUGACUUCAUAGGUGGAGCACUGGGUUCCUUCAGGGACACACUGUGUGCUGUUGUGGAUACGUCACUGGAAACCAUACAAGAUAUUAAAAAAGGUAUGUAAUUUAUACUUGAAUCCUUUUUUUCUGACUCAAGACUGUUUUUCUCUUGUUUCACAUACAAUUAAUGAAUGAAUAAAUCUGUCUUUUUUUAAAUACUUGAACUAAACUUUAACUCCCUCGCUGGUUUGUAACUGCCUGGUUGAAUCAUUAAUUAAUUCAUGCAGAAUUUACUUACAAAUGCACUUAUUUUUCUUUUUUUUUCAUCCAGGAAAAACUGAUCUUAGCUAUAUUGACCCUGUAAUGAUAGGCAGAGGUGUCUUUAAUGCUACUAAUGAGUUCAUGUGUGGAGUGGCGAGCUACAUCCAGGAUGUGCUCUGUUCCAUACUGGACACUACACUGAAUGUAGUGAAAGGUAUUUACGCUCUCUCGUUUAACCUAUAACCUCUUAAAAACGACAUAAACAAUAUAUCAAUUUAGGGAGUUUGCUUUGCAUAUUUUCUGUCCUUAUUCACUUCCUGUUUGUGUUUCUCAGGAACCGUCGACAUUAGCUUCAUGGACCCUGUGGUAAUAGGAAGAAAUAUAUUCCACGUCACAAAUGACACAGCGAGUGGAAUAUUUGGCUACAUCCAGGACGUGUUCUGUGCCAUCGUAGACAUGAUAGUGGAUGUAUUCAAAGGAACCACUGACAUUAGCUUCAUUGACCCCGUGGUUAUUGGCAGAAAUGCCUUCAGUGUUACUAAUGACUUUGUGAGUGGAAUAUUUGGCUACAUCCAGGGCGUGCUCUGCGCAGUCUUCGAUGUCAUACUGGACACAUUAAAAGAUAUCCAGCAUAGUUUGGGAUUUAGCCCCAUGUCAGUUUUUAAGUCAGCAGCAGAAAUCACCAAAGAGCAGACAAACCUGCUUGUGAGCUACAUCUCCUCAACACUGAUUGGUGAACAAGGAAUCGUGCCUGAAGUGUUCAUCGACCCAAUGAAAGUUGUUGAAGAUGCUGUGUCGGAGCUCACAGACAAGAAGGACUUAUUCUUAGCUUACAUGUCAAGCAUGAUUGUUGGUGAUCAGGGGGAACCUGUCACCACCCCAGGUGUAAAUGUAGUAACAGAAAAAGAUGAAGCUGUACCUUCCCCAUCUGAUAUCAAUUUAGUAAGAAGGAAAGGGGAAUUUCUGCCUCCAUUUGAAAAAGAACUUCGCAGUGAUAUGUCUUGACUCAGUCAUCAUGUUUUUCUGUGUAACUGUGCAUGACCAUGUGUGUCCUUCAGACUUGCAUUCCUUUGUUGCUCUUUCUCGCAUUUUUUGUGCCACUGACUGGUUGCCUCCUGUUUUUGACCAUUUACACUGUUGUGAUAUGUGUAUAAUUGGAUUGUCCAGACUGGAUUACAUGUGUUUUUGUAUACUUUUUACCUGCGCAUGUAACUAUUAAACACAACACAUGUUGCAAAGUUAGCAUUCACAAUAGUUUUAUGCUGUAUUUACCAUUGUAGCCAGUUUUGAUACAUCAUGUUCCUUUUCUCUGUGGUUUUAUAAAAACUAUUUGAUCCAGCCAGCUCCUUCAUUAAGAUCAUCACAGCACUGUAGCUUAUUUUGAGCGAGUACUCUGCUGUAAUGAGUGGCUAAACAUAUAGCUCAGCCGCAGUUUGUACCAGCUACUUCAAGAAGUUACAAGGCAUUUAAAAAACACUUUAAAAGAAGCUAAAUAGAAAAGAAACGAAAUGUAAAAUAAUUCCUGCUUCAAUUUAUGAAGCAAUUUUAAAAAUCCACUAACUGCAUCUGUGGUGUAUAUCAUGCUGUAAUGUUGCUAUGAUUUUGCACCAUUAAAAUCACCCUAUAAAGAUUUGAAGAUCACAUAAGAGGGAUGACAAGGUUC